GGCUAGUGCAUGCUUGGGCAUCCUCCCCAAAGUAAAGGGUGUCUUACUGCACCUUGUGCCACCUAUCACUAAAAGAAAAGUAUAUUAGAAGAUCUCUUCAGUUAUUGGAGAUAUCCCACACUUGAAAAUAUUGCUCUAAUGUGUUUAUUUGGUGACAGAAAAGACAACUGAUAUGAUUUGGCUGUGUCUGCACCCAAAUCUCAUCUUAAAUUGUAUUUCCCAUAAUCCCCAAAUGUCAUGGGAGAACCCCAGUAGGAGGUAAUUGAAUCAUGGGGGCAGUUACCCCCAGGCUGUUUUAUGAUAGUGAAUGAGUUUUCAUGAGAUAUGAUGGUUUUAUAAGUAGCUUUUCCCGCUUUGCUCAGCACUUCUCUCUCCUGCUGCCAUGUGAAGAAGGAUGUGUUUGCUUCACCUUCCACCAUGAUUGCGAGUUUCCUGAGGCCUCCUCAGCCACACGGAAAUCAAUCAUUGUUGAAACUUCUGUCCUCAAGUUUAAUAUGAGAGAGUAUAAAACUAGGGUUCUACACAAUGAGCUCCCGGUCUGCAGAGCUUCUGGGUGUGAUUUGCUGAAAAAGGUUUCAGUUUAGAGAUGAAGAAGCAGCAGCCAGAGGAAGAAAGUAAAAGCAGCUAUAUAGGGAAAGUUACAGCUUUUGUGAUAUUGCCUGAAGCUUCUGACCAAAUACUAGAAGAGCUCUUAAAACAAAUCGUGUUACAAGAAAAGUGCCUGUUUUAGAAAACUGAUCAGAUAAUCCCUUUACCAAAAGGAAAACGUACAAUAAUGGAAUCCACAGGCACUGCAGCCAAAGGCAGGGUCUUCAGCCCUAUUGAGGAGAGUUGCUUUGAAGUGCAGUGUUGCUAUGCAUGUGGAAUUGAUCAAGCCCUUUAUUUUCCUAUGGGUCUCUAUCAUGUUUUUAUAUCAUGUAACAUGAUUUCUUAGCCAUCUCUCUCUCUCUCUCUGUCACGCACACCCAUAUAAAGGUGUUUAUGCAGGCACUCUUUAUGCUCAUUAUUUCUAUGUUUUUUCCUAGUCAUAUUAUCUUAGAUUAUAAUUGACUCUUCAGAGUACAGUGGGGACCAGGUGAGUGGAGGUUUGUGUGGCCUUGGACUAUAAUUGACUCUUUAGGGGGAAAAAUAGAUACAUUUUCUGAAAUCCAUAAGUUCUGGAAUUAUGACUUGCUCACUAACUUGUUUGAAAAAGCCUAAGAUAAUAAAUGUUAACUGAAUUAAUGGAUUAAUGUAUCCUUUUAGAUAAGGUAAUAUGCAAUGUCAAAUCUCUAAGCAAUUUAACUGAGGACAGCAUGAUUCAAUUUAAAUUUUAAAUUUUAUCAUAUUUUAAAUCCAGUUGGUGAAGUGGAUUAAAGAUAGGUGGUAGUGAAAGCAGAAACACAGUUACAAAAACAAUGGUUCAGAUGGGAGAAACAAGGACCUUGAGGAUAAAAAUCAUUUUUACAUAUGAAAUUCAUUAUUAUUUUUGAAAAGGUAAUGUAGAUUACAUUUUCUAAUAUAAUAUAUUUAAAUGUAUCUUCAUGAAUACCACAAAAUAUUUCAUGGUAGAUAAUUAUAUCAUCAUUUUCCAGUAGUUGACUCAAGGUCUCACAGCUGGACCCGUGAUCAAAUUCCAACUUUGCCACUUUCUGUUUCUGUUUCAUGAAACCCUUGCUCUGUCGAUGAUGUUGAAGUACCUACAGUGAUUACAUAGAAACGAAUAUUGAAACUGAGGCAGGAAACUUGGGCAAGUGCUAGGUUCCUGCUGAUGUGACAAUCCUCUUUUUUUUUAUUUUUGAGACGGAGUCUAUCCAGCCAACAAUCCUCUUUUUAAUUCAUUUGUACUAUAUAAAUCUACAAAACUCUAUAAAUAAUAUAAUCAAAAUUCUGU
Molecule: long non-coding RNA, 1873 nt
Filed under: Papio anubis (olive baboon)
Lineage: Eukaryota; Metazoa; Chordata; Mammalia; Primates; Cercopithecidae
Description: lncRNA (ENSPANG00000037178.1)
Source: RNAcentral